Molecule: transfer RNA, 85 nt
Filed under: Caldifarciminota bacterium SM1_77
Lineage: Bacteria; Pseudomonadati; Caldifarciminota
Description: tRNA-Leu
Rfam family: tRNA
About the family: Transfer RNA (tRNA) molecules are approximately 80 nucleotides in length. Their secondary structure includes four short double-helical elements and three loops (D, anti-codon, and T loops).
Source: RNAcentral
GCCGGGGUGGUGGAAUUGGCAGACACAUACGUUUGAGGGGCGUAGGCCUUCGGGCAUGGGGGUUCAAAUCCCCCCUCCGGCAUCA